This 553-nucleotide small RNA is filed under the name Pongo abelii (Sumatran orangutan). RNAcentral's name for it is "retained intron". Lineage: Eukaryota; Metazoa; Chordata; Mammalia; Primates; Hominidae. The record is from RNAcentral.
GAGACUUGUGCCGUGCCCUGCAAUCCAACAUCAUACCUUUCUGUGACGAGGUGAUGCAGCUGCUUCUGGAAAAUUUGGGGAAUGAGAACGUCCACAGGUCUGUGAAGCCGCAGAUUCUGUCAGUGUUUGGUGAUAUUGCCCUUGCUAUUGGUGGAGAGUUUAAAAAAUACUUAGAGGUUGUAUUGAAUACUCUUCAGCAGGCCUCCCAAGCCCAGGUGGACAAGUCAGACUAUGACAUGGUGGAUUAUCUGAAUGAGCUAAGGGAAAGCUGCUUGGAAGCCUAUACCGGAAUCGUCCAGGGAUUAAAGGGGGAUCAGGAGAACGUACACCGUUGAGUAUACAACCCAGUUCCCUUCGUCCACUGGCCAAUUUGCACUUAGCCAAAUGGGCUAUGUCUGUCAUUCUGUAGCUCGCUUGUGAACCUAGUGCCUGUUGCUUAAAAGGCUGGGAGAAGGGGGAGCAGUGCCCUAAUGAAGAGAGUGGCUUGGGGAAAACUGUAGACUAUUGUUUUUGCUCUGCUUCUUUCUUUUUUUUGUUUUGAGACGGAGUCUCA